This 851-nucleotide ribosomal RNA is filed under the name uncultured bacterium. Its description in RNAcentral is "bacterial SSU rRNA". It matches the Rfam family "Bacterial small subunit ribosomal RNA", at positions 43 to 892 of the family's 1533-position model. The record is from RNAcentral.
CGUGCCUAAUACAUGCAAGUCGAACGAAUCUCUUUUAGAGAUGAGUGGCGAACGGGUGAGUAAUACAUAGGUAACCUGCCCCUGUGCGGGGGAUAACAGGAGGAAACUCCUGCUAAUACCGCAUAGCCAUGAGCACCGCAUGGAGCUCAUGCCAAAUAUCCUUUAUGGGAUAGCGCAGGGAUGGACCUAUGGCGCAUUAGCUGGUUGGCGGGGCAACGGCCCACCAAGGCAACGAUGCGUAGCCGGCCUGAGAGGGCGGACGGCCACAUUGGGACUGUGACACGGCCCAGACUCCUACGGGAGGCAGCAGUAGGGAAUUUUCGGCAAUGGGGGAAACCCUGACCGAGCAACGCCGCGUGAGCGAAGAAGGCCUUCGGGUCGUAAAGCUCUGUUGUAAAGGAAGAACGGCGCAUACAGGAAAUGGUAUGCGAGUGACGGUACUUUACCAGAAAGCCACGGCUAACUACGUGCCAGCAGCCGCGGUAAUACGUAGGUGGCGAGCGUUAUCCGGAAUCAUUGGGCGUAAAGAGGGAGCAGGCGGCCGCAAGGGUCUGUGGUGAAAGCCCGAAGCUAAACUUCGGUAAGCCAUGGAAACCGGGCGGCUAGAGUGCGGAAGAGGAUCGUGGAAUUCCAUGUGUAGCGGUGAAAUGCGUAGAUAUAUGGAGGAACACCAGUGGCGAAGGCGACGGUCUGGGCCGCAACUGACGCUCAUUCCCGAAAGCGUGGGGAGCAAAUAGGAUUAGAUACCCUAGUAGUCCACGCCGUAAACGAUGGUCACUAAGUGUCGGGGGUCAAACCCCGGUGCUGCAGUCAACGCAAUAAGUGACCCGCCUGAGUAGUACGUUCGCAAG